This 514-nucleotide ribosomal RNA is filed under the name uncultured bacterium. RNAcentral describes it as "partial 16S ribosomal RNA". It matches the Rfam family "Bacterial small subunit ribosomal RNA", at positions 355 to 891 of the family's 1533-position model. The record is from RNAcentral.
UGGGGAAUAUUGGACAAUGGGCGCAAGCCUGAUCCAGCAAUGCCGCGUGAGUGAUGAAGGCCUUCGGGUUGUAAAGCUCUUUCGCACGCGACGAUGAUGACGGUAGCGUGAGAAGAAGCCCCGGCUAACUUCGUGCCAGCAGCCGCGGUAAUACGAAGGGGGCUAGCGUUGUUCGGAAUUACUGGGCGUAAAGGGCGCGUAGGCGGCCUGUUUAGUCAGGAGUGAAAUCCCCGGGCUCAACUGGAAUUGCUUUUGAUACUGGCAGGCUUGAGUUCCGGAGAGGAUGGUGGAAUUCCCAGUGUAGAGGUGAAAUUCGUAGAUAUUGGGAAGAACACCGGUGGCGAAGGCGGCCAUCUGGACGGACACUGACGCUGAGGCGCGAAAGCGUGGGGAGCAAACAGGAUUAGAUACCCUGGUAGUCCACGCCGUAAACGNUGAAUGCUAGACGCUGGGGGGCUUCCUUUCGGUGUCGCGCUAACGCAUUAAGCAUUCCGCCUGGGGAGUACGGCCGCAA